Molecule: long non-coding RNA, 213 nt
Organism: Vitis riparia (riverbank grape)
Lineage: Eukaryota; Viridiplantae; Streptophyta; Magnoliopsida; Vitales; Vitaceae
Exons: 3
Source: RefSeq, a predicted model, not a curated record
GCUGCAAUUGUUUUUUAUGGCGCCUUAGACCCGAGCGAGGAACUUGUUGCACUGCAUGACACAACUUUAAGCAGAGGCAACCUCGCCUCUUUCCAAGGAGACAGCUGGAUUGGCAAUCAUGUGGUGGAUGCGUAUUGUAGAUUGCUGCAAUUCGAUGAUGCAUCAAGGACCAAACUCUAUCUAUCGCCCUACAUAGCGGUAAUGGAGGGCUUU